AUGGUUGUAUUUCAAAAGUCGUUUUUAUGUCAUUCAUCACAUUAUAUGCGGCUUAUCUUAUGCCUGUGUGACCUGUUUGAUUUUCUCUGUUUCUUUACUUCCUUCGCGGUUUGUUCUGCUCCCACCAAGGAUCAUAAACCUGUUACAUGUGUUAUUUCUAGAAUCACGAGUCAUCCAAGUUUGGUUGCACACUCGCGGAACAUCCAGCAAUUUCUCAAGAUACACUUACAAGACCAAGCAUGGCAUGACAUGAGAAAACCAACAAUGAUGAGUGCCUGCGCCUUGAGCUUUUUGGGAGUCUUGAUAAUCACUGAAAGUAAGUUGAUUGAUGCAUUGCGGAACCUUGAGCUUUUUUAG
Molecule: ribosomal RNA, 357 nt
Filed under: Triticum aestivum (bread wheat)
Lineage: Eukaryota; Viridiplantae; Streptophyta; Magnoliopsida; Poales; Poaceae
Description: partial small subunit ribosomal RNA
Source: RNAcentral